Molecule: ribosomal RNA, 982 nt
Filed under: human gut metagenome
Description: bacterial LSU rRNA
Rfam family: Bacterial large subunit ribosomal RNA
Source: RNAcentral
CGGUCCUAAGGUAGCGAAAUUCCUUGUCGGGUAAGUUCCGACCUGCACGAAUGGCGUAACGACUUCCCCACUGUCUCGACCAGGAGCUCGGCGAAAUUGCAGUACGAGUAAAGAUGCUCGUUAAGCGCAGAAGGACGAAAAGACCCCGGGACCUUUACUAUACCUUGGUAUUGGCGUUAGGCGCGGAUUGUGUAGCAUAGGCGGGAGGCUUCGAAGCGUGGGCGCCAGCUCAUGUGGAGCCGCAAGGUGAAAUACCGCUCUGUUCUCGUUUGACGUCUAACCUCGACAAGUCAUCCUUGUCAGGGACAGUGCCUGGCGGGUAGUUCAACUGGGGCGGUUGCCUCCCAAAGAGUAACGGAGGCGCUCAAAGGUCCGCUCAGCCCGGUUGGCAAUCGGGUGUCGAGUGUAAUCGCACAAGCGGGCUUGACUGCGAGGACGACGGUCCGAGCAGGGACGAAAGUCGGAGAUAGUGAUCCGGUGCCGGCGCACGGGCGCGGCAUCGCUCAACGGAUAAAAGGUACUCCGGGGAUAACAGGCUGAUCAUUCCCAAGAGUCCAUAUCGACGGGAUGGUUUGGCACCUCGAUGUCGGCUCGUCGCAUCCUGGGGCUGGAGCAGGUCCCAAGGGUUCGGCUGUUCGCCGAUCAAAGCGGCACGCGAGCUGGGUUCAGAACGUCGUGAGACAGUUUGGUCUCUAUCCUCUGCGCUCGUUGGAAUCUUGAGGAGGCCUGCCCAUAGUACGAGAGGACCUGGGUGGACGAACCUCUGGUAUGCCGGUUGUCGCGCCAGCGGCACGGCCGGUUGGCUACGUUCGGGAGGGAUAACCGCUGAAAGCAUCUAAGCGGGAAGCCUGCUCCAAGAUUAGGAUUCCGUACGGUCUUGAACCGUUGUAGCCCGCAUGUUGAACACGUGUUUGAUAGGCCGGAGGUGGAAGCCCCGUGAGGGGUGGAGCCGACCGGUACUAACGGGCGAUGGCGACACAAC